CCUGGAUUCAGCGGCGGACGGGUGAGUAAUGCCUAGGAAUCUGCCUGGUAGUGGGGGAUAACGUCCGGAAACGGGCGCUAAUACCGCAUACGUCCUGAGGGAGAAAGUGGGGGAUCUUCGGACCUCACGCUAUCAGAUGAGCCUAGGUCGGAUUAGCUAGUUGGUGGGGUAAAGGCCUACCAAGGCGACGAUCCGUAACUGGUCUGAGAGGAUGAUCAGUCACACUGGAACUGAGACACGGUCCAGACUCCUACGGGAGGCAGCAGUGGGGAAUAUUGGACAAUGGGCGAAAGCCUGAUCCAGCCAUGCCGCGUGUGUGAAGAAGGUCUUCGGAUUGUAAAGCACUUUAAGUUGGGAGGAAGGGCAGUAAGUUAAUACCUUGCUGUUUUGACGUUACCAACAGAAUAAGCACCGGCUAACUUCGUGCCAGCAGCCGCGGUAAUACGAAGGGUGCAAGCGUUAAUCGGAAUUACUGGGCGUAAAGCGCGCGUAGGUGGUUCAGCAAGUUGGAUGUGAAAUCCCCGGGCUCAACCUGGGAACUGCAUCCAAAACUACUGAGCUAGAGUACGGUAGAGGGUGGUGGAAUUUCCUGUGUAGCGGUGAAAUGCGUAGAUAUAGGAAGGAACACCAGUGGCGAAGGCGACCACCUGGA
This 652-nucleotide ribosomal RNA is filed under the name uncultured Pseudomonadota bacterium. RNAcentral describes it as "bacterial SSU rRNA". It matches the Rfam family "Bacterial small subunit ribosomal RNA", at positions 85 to 733 of the family's 1533-position model. The record is from RNAcentral. Lineage: Bacteria; Pseudomonadati; Pseudomonadota.